CCUACGGGAGGCAGCAGUGAGGAAUAUUGGUCAAUGGACGCAAGUCUGAACCAGCCAUGCCGCGUGCAGGAUGACGGCUCUAUGAGUUGUAAACUGCUUUUGUACGAGGGUAAACCCCGAUACGUGUAUCGGGUUGAAAGUAUCGUACGAAUAAGGAUCGGCUAACUCCGUGCCAGCAGCCGCGGUAAUACGGAGGAUACGAGCGUUAUUCGGAUUUAUUGGGUUUAAAGGGUGCGUAGGCGGUAUGAUAAGUUAGAGGUGAAAUGUCGGGGCUCAACCCCGAAACUGCCGUUAAUACUGGUGGACUAGAGAGUAGUUGAGGUAGGCGGAAUGUAUGGUGUAGCGGUGAAAUGCUUAGAGAUC
This 363-nucleotide ribosomal RNA is filed under the name uncultured bacterium. Its description in RNAcentral is "partial 16S ribosomal RNA". It matches the Rfam family "Bacterial small subunit ribosomal RNA", at positions 338 to 698 of the family's 1533-position model. The record is from RNAcentral.